GCCCAGACUCCUACGGGAGGCAGCAGUGGGGGAUAUUGCACAAUGGGGGAAACCCUGAUGCAGCGACGCCGCGUGGGUGAAGAAGCGCCUCGGCGCGUAAAGCCCUGUCAGCAGGGAAGAAAAUGACGGUACCUGACUAAGAAGCCCCGGCUAACUACGUGCCAGCAGCCGCGGUAAUACGUAGGGGGCAAGCGUUAUCCGGAUUUACUGGGUGUAAAGGGAGCGCAGGCGGCCUGCCAAGUCUGGUGUGAAAACCCGGGGCCCAACCCCGGGCCUGCAUUGGAAACUGGCGGGCUGGAGUGUCGGAGGGGCAGGCGGAAUUCCUAGUGUAGCGGUGAAAUGCGUAGAUAUUAGGAGGAACACCGGUGGCGAAGGCGGCCUGCUGGACGAUGACUGACGCUGAGGCUCGAAAGCGUGGGGAGCAAACAGGAUUAGAUACCCCUGUA
This 446-nucleotide ribosomal RNA is filed under the name uncultured bacterium. RNAcentral's name for it is "bacterial SSU rRNA". It matches the Rfam family "Bacterial small subunit ribosomal RNA", at positions 329 to 792 of the family's 1533-position model. The record is from RNAcentral.